CAUCACCGAAGCCCCCUGGAGCCUAGAUGACUGUCACAAACAGCUGCAUCACAAACAGCUGCAUCACCGAAGCCCCCUGGAGCCUAGGUGAUGGCUCACAAAGCUAGGAACCUGGAGCACACUGCACAGUCUGCAGGCAGCGCAACAGGAUGGAAAGUGUACUCUCCAGUCACUUGAUCAGUGAGAAGAUUCAACAAUCAAGACUAGAAAAAUUCUAGCUUUUCUUUCAUCUCUUAUGAAUGUGACCACAAUAACUUCUAUAUCAAAGAAGAGUCUGGACUCUGAUGAUCUCCGUGUGGUUCCCUGGACAUACAAAGACUCUUCCUUCUUAAUGUCCCUACCCAAGAUGAUUAGGAGUAUAUCUGCUGUAGUAAUUUGUAUCACUUACGCUCCAGAAAAACUGCCAUGGCUUUGAUGCUC
Long non-coding RNA from Peromyscus maniculatus bairdii (prairie deer mouse), 420 nucleotides. RefSeq lists it as uncharacterized. The record is from RefSeq and is a predicted model, not a curated record. Lineage: Eukaryota; Metazoa; Chordata; Mammalia; Rodentia; Cricetidae.